UGCAAAAGCUGUUGCAAAAUUUG
RNAcentral lists this small nuclear RNA (23 nucleotides) under Arabidopsis thaliana (thale cress). Its description in RNAcentral is "snRNA_10165". The record is from RNAcentral. Lineage: Eukaryota; Viridiplantae; Streptophyta; Magnoliopsida; Brassicales; Brassicaceae.